This 188-nucleotide unclassified non-coding RNA is filed under the name plant metagenome. RNAcentral describes it as "partial contains small subunit ribosomal RNA, internal transcribed spacer 1, and 5.8S ribosomal RNA". The record is from RNAcentral.
UUUCCGUAGGUGAACCUGCGGAAGGAUCAUUAAAGAAUUUAAAGAGUGCACUUCAUUGUGGCUCGACAUUUCCUACCAUUCACCCUAGUGCACUGUAAUACCUUUUUUUAUUAGACUCUACAAAGUUAUUGAAUGUAACACUUUCUUAUAAAGAAAUAAAACUUUUAACAACGGAUCUCUUGGCUCUC